This 441-nucleotide ribosomal RNA is filed under the name uncultured bacterium. Its description in RNAcentral is "partial 16S ribosomal RNA". It matches the Rfam family "Bacterial small subunit ribosomal RNA", at positions 338 to 795 of the family's 1533-position model. The record is from RNAcentral.
CCUACGGGAGGCAGCAGUGGGGAAUAUUGCACAAUGGGGGAAACCCUGAUGCAGCGACGCCGCGUGAGUGAAGAAGUAUUUCGGUAUGUAAAGCUCUAUCAGCAGGAACGAGACAAGACGGUACCUGACUAAGAAGCCCCGGCUAACUACGUGCCAGCAGCCGCGGUAAUCCGUAGGGGGCAAGCGUUAUCCGGAAUCACUGGGUGUAAAGGGAGCGUAGACGGCUGAGCAAGCCUGAAGUGAAAGGCGGGGGCCCAACCCCCGGACUGCUUUGGGAACUGUACGGCUGGAGUGCAGGAGAGGUAAGUGGAAUUCCUAGUGUAGCGGUGAAAUGCGUAGAUAUUAGGAGGAACACCAGUGGCGAAGGCGGCUUACUGGACUGUAACUGACGUUGAGGCUCGAAAGCGUGGGGAGCAAACAGGAUUAGAUACCCGAGUAGUC